CGACGUGAGUAACCUGCCCUGGAGUGGGGAAUAACAGCUGGAAACAGCUGCUAAUACCGCAUAAUGCAGUUGGGCCGCAUGGCUCUGACUGCCAAAGAUUUAUCGCUCUGGGAUGGACUCGCGUCUGAUUAGCUAGUUGGUGGGGCAACGGCCCACCAAGGCGACGAUCAGUAGCCGGACUGAGAGGUUGGCCGGCCACAUUGGGACUGAGACACGGCCCAGACUCCUACGGAAGGCAGCAG
RNAcentral lists this ribosomal RNA (242 nucleotides) under uncultured bacterium. Its description in RNAcentral is "partial 16S ribosomal RNA". It matches the Rfam family "Bacterial small subunit ribosomal RNA", at positions 113 to 354 of the family's 1533-position model. The record is from RNAcentral.